UUUUAAUAUUCAGUAUUUUCGGACUCAGCAGGCAGCAGGCUAAAUCUGUCCGCUGAUGGGCAGGCAUGAAUUAUGAAACCACUCACACAGGUUGAGAGGUUGCCCUGAGCUGGGGGGGUGCUGCCCCCAGUGUCUGCUCAAGGUGGUUGGGGGAUGGAUUGCUCCCUACUCAGGAAAGAAGGGGGAAUAUGAACAGGAAGUGGGCUGUGCAGGGUGGAGGUGCCCUAGUGUCAGGCUGAAGGCUGGGAGCCGACAUCUAAUCAUCAAAAUGAUGGAACUCUGAGGGCUGAAGGGAUGUUAAGGCACUGAGGACCACAGCACUUGUUCUCAUCAACAUCAUCAUCAGCAUCAGCAUCAUUGUCACCAUAACCAGCAUCAUUGGCAUCAGCAUAAUCAGCAUCACCACCCUCAUCAUCAUCAGUAGCAUCAAUAUCACCAUCAUCAGCAUCACCAUUAUCAUCAUCAGCAGCAUCAGUAUCACCAUCAGCAGCAGCAUCAGCAUCAUCAGCAGCAUCAGCACCAUCAGCAUCAUCAGCAGCAUCAGCAGCAUCAGCAACAUCAGCAUCAUCGUCAUCAGCAUCAUCAGCAGCAUCACCACCAUUAUCAGCAGCAGUAUCACCAUCUAACAUUUUUUGAGGGUUUCAGAUGCACAAGGCACUGGGCUGAUUGCUUUACAUGCGUUGUUUCAUUUGUUCCCAACAAUGACAGCCCGCAAAGUUAAGUAUUAUUAUUGUUAAUAUCCUCAUUUACAGAUACGUAAACUGAAACUUAGAGAGAUUAAGCAACUUGCUUAGGGCCACAGAGCUAUGUGAAGUGCAAUUUUCAAAAAUGUAAAUCACAAUUCUCAGGAAAAUAUAAAAUGAUACCAUGUCAAAGAUUUUAUUUAACUCAAUAAUUAAUGAGAGAACCAAUAAGAAGUUAAAACUUAUUCAAAGAGCAUUAGAGAAUUUAGAUAUAUGCAGGCAAUUCAACAGCAAAAAAUAAGGCAAGUAUGAUAGGUUAAAUUAUGUUCCCUCUGGAAAAAAAUCUAUCCUGAUCCCUGGAAUUUGUGAAUAUGUUACUUAUGUUACUUUACAAGUAGAAAGGAUUUUACAGAUGUGAUUAAAUUAUGGGUUUUUAAUCACAUCUGUAAUGGGGAGAUUAUUCAGGAUUAUCUGGGUAGGUCCAAUGUAAUCACAUGCAUUCUCAUAAGAGGGAGACAGGAGUGUCAACUGAGAUGGAAGAUAUAAGAACAAAAGCAGAGAUUGGAGUGAUGUGCUUUAAAGAUGGAGGAAGAGGCCAUAAGCCAAGGAAUAUAGGUUAUCCCUAGAAGCUGGAAAAGAGAAUAAAACAAAUCCUUUUCUAGAGCCUCUAGAAGAAAUGGGCUCUGCUUACACCUUGAUUUUAGCCCAGUGAAACUGAUUUUGAACUUCUGACAUCUAGUACUGUAAGAUAAUAAAUUCGCAUUAUUUUUACACCCUAAGAUGUGUUACAUUGUUAUAUCAGCAGUAGAAAUUUAAUACCAAAAGAUUACUGGGUGAGAUAGAAAGCUAGUAAAUGUCCAACCGGGCUAUCAAUUGUAACCCUUGGAGCUAAUUCUUCCACCAGAGUUAAAUUAUUUGCAUCUUUGUGGGACCAAAAUUUACAAAUAAACCUCUGCCGUUAUGGAGAUGAAAUUUGACUGGUCAGUAGAAAGCCC
This 1678-nucleotide long non-coding RNA is filed under the name Rhinopithecus bieti (black snub-nosed monkey). Its description in RNAcentral is "lncRNA (ENSRBIG00000046012.1)". Lineage: Eukaryota; Metazoa; Chordata; Mammalia; Primates; Cercopithecidae. The record is from RNAcentral.